UCCAGACUCCUACGGGAGGCAGCAGUGGGGAAUAUUGCACAAUGGGGGAAACCCUGAUGCAGCGACGCCGCGUGAGCGAUGAAGUAUUUCGGUAUGUAAAGCUCUGUCAGCAGGGAAGAAGAAAGACGGUACCUGACCAAGAAGCCCCGGCUAACUACGUGCCAGCAGCCGCGGUAAUACGUAGGGGGCAAGCGUUAUCCGGAUUUACUGGGUGUAAAGGGAGCGUAGACGGCAUGGCAAGUCAGAUGUGAAAGCCCGGGGCUCAACCCCGGGACUGCAUUUGAAACUGUCAGGCUGGAGUGCAGGAGAGGUAAGUGGAAUUCCUAGUGUAGCGGUGAAAUGCGUAGAUAUUAGGAGGAACACCAGUGGCGAAGGCGGCUUACUGGACUGUAACUGACGUUGAGGCUCGAAAGCGUGGGGAGCAAACAGGAUUAGAUACCCUGGUAA
This 447-nucleotide ribosomal RNA is filed under the name uncultured bacterium. RNAcentral describes it as "bacterial SSU rRNA". It matches the Rfam family "Bacterial small subunit ribosomal RNA", at positions 330 to 793 of the family's 1533-position model. The record is from RNAcentral.